AGAGGGGAGGAGAGGCGGUCCUUUUCUCUGUUCACGUGACAUCUCUUAACUGAAAAGCUCCUCCCUCACUGGAGAGCUCUCGGCAGGCGUGCCGGGCUCCUGUCGCUUCUGAGAAGGGCAGCCUGGUGGACUCAGUUUCCGCAGCCCUUUUGCGCCUGGCUGGGACGGGGCAGUGGAGCAGAGGAGGAGGGCAGCAGCGUGGAGGAAACUCAGGAGGAGAGGGAACUUCUCUGGAGCUGCAGCAAUGAGACCCGAAGCUCAACUGGACUUCAGAGCAGAAGCUGCUAAGUGUAGACUCCAAGAUAAGCACCCGAGUUGACCUAACAACAGGCUUCAAUUUGACUCACGAAAGCUGAAGAGUGGGGCAGUCAGAGAUGGGAACAGCUGUCAUCCUGAGGAAAUGGCAAGUGUCCUCUGACACCUGCCACUGCUUGUAGGCAUGAUCGAGAUGAGAACGGCAGAUCGGGAGUGUGCUGGUGGAAUCAGAACUGAGAGCCUUCAAAUGCAACUGCCACCUGGCCCUGCUCUAGAACCCCAGGGCCUUGAAUGUGCAGCCGGGCCAUUUCAAAAUGAUCACCUGAGCCCACACCCGUCACUCUCCUCCCUCUAAGAUGCUUCCUGAACAGACCAAAGAAAUAUAAAAAUGGAGAAAAUCUGUGUCAGUAUCGGAGCACGGGGAUCGUCCAGAAACUCAGAAGAAUUUCCAGGAGAAAGUGCGCUGGGGACCAGAGUGAGAGGCCGCCUAACUGCCACACGUGUGAAGUGUCCAGCCCCACCGCAGUGGAGACCCAGAACUUCAGCUCUGUUGCUGGGCUCCUUUCUCUUCAUUUCUAAAUGUGAAGGCUGACAUCCCUCUCUGUCAACGGCGUUUGGGACAAUCAUGCAGGAGCCUCAAGCCAACCUCCAAAUGAAACCUUAGACCUCUUGACGCUGCUGUCUUUUUAAAUAAAUGAAGGAGCAGCUGGUCCAUUUGUAAUAGAAAUAAGGCAAAAGGAAUCAGCGACUGGGGUUCAGCACAGGUUUAAACUGCUGCCCCGGGGAAGAACUGAGUCAGAAGUCCUCUCCAUGUUGAAAUGAAAGCCUGAUAUUGGCUUCAGGGGCUCAGCUACAGUCAGUCAUCUCCUGUUUCCCACCGGGCCCGCUCCGGGGAGUGAGCAACGGCAGUGCGGGGAACCAGCACCGUUUGGACACCUAGACUAUUACUUUUAAGCAGAAGAGGAGGAGGACAGCUAAUAUUUAAAUAUUAUUAGGGUACCGCAUUAGACACAGAAUAAAGGACACAAGAAAUGCUCUACUGGUUUUAGCCUCUUCAUGACCUAAAAUUUCUGUCUCACGGCAAUUCAAAGAAUCAAAAAGUCUGAUCUAGAGAUGGGGGACUUCCUCAAGUGUGGAAGAUUCUAACAGGACAGGGCGUGAUUGCCUAACUAACAUCAGUCUCAAUAAAAGACAGCUUGAAAAUGAACUGAUUAUAGUGACACUGCAGUGAUUAUAAGUCACAGAAUAUUUCCUGUGUGCCGUCGUAACUCCAGAAGUCAUUCCACACAGGACCUGUGGAAGAAUCCAAGCAGUAUUAAAGGCUGUUUAUUAUUUCAAGCCAGUGGCAUCUCAGGAGACCAUGUAUCUUCAAGGCCUUCACAAAAAUGUAUCCAAGACACUCAAACAGCAAGUCUACUCAAAUAAGCUUCCCAAGCAGCUUUUCUGUACAUCUCAGCUGCUUCCAGACGAUUAGCUGAUGUUGUUAUGCCCCGGCCCACAAUGAUGAUAUCAGAACCUCGUUUGCCAAUCACUUCUUGUGGGCUGUUGUAUUGCUGGCCAAGAUUAUCACCUACAAAACCACAAAAGUUUGUUUAAUUAAUACAGUAAAUCAGAAAACCUGUCAUAUGACUUUUCUGAAAAGUAUCUAACCUGCUUUAAAUAAAAAUAUGCUCUUGUUCACCAUG
Balaenoptera acutorostrata (minke whale) is the source of this 1940-nucleotide long non-coding RNA. RefSeq lists it as uncharacterized. The record is from RefSeq and is a predicted model, not a curated record. Lineage: Eukaryota; Metazoa; Chordata; Mammalia; Artiodactyla; Balaenopteridae. The transcript is spliced from 2 exons.